This is a long non-coding RNA of Trichogramma pretiosum, 803 nucleotides long. RefSeq lists it as uncharacterized. NCBI's taxonomy places the organism in Eukaryota, Metazoa, Arthropoda, Insecta, Hymenoptera, Trichogrammatidae. The record is from RefSeq and is a predicted model, not a curated record. The transcript has 2 exons.
UAUUUUGAUUAAAUUUUCUAAAUAAAAUUUUAUCAAAACAUAUUCUUCAGAAUCAAUUACUUAACGUUGCUCUAGUAACGUAGAAAUAUUCCGACAUAAACAAAAAUAGACAACAACAGCGGUCUAUGUGCUUGAGAGCUGUUUGAAGCACGAUCCAGUUUCCGCACAAGCUCAAACACGCACGAGAAAUCGUAAGGAAACUUUUCUGCUUGAUGAUAAAAAGAAUGUUUCCUCUGGCUUUCGUUUAAGAAACAAAAUGCGAGUUUUUAAUUGUGAUGAUUGCGAUGCAAUUUUUGCAGACGAGGAAACGAUGCGUAGGCAUCAAAUGACAGCGCAUCUCGGAUAUAAAGUUCUAUGCAAUAUGUGCAGAGCCGAGUUUUAUGAUCACGAAUCUCUAGAAGCACACCGGCCACAACACGCAAAUGACGAAACUACGGAGUGUGAUGUUUGCGGUGAAGUAAAAUGCACAAGGUGUAAAAUUUACUUGAAGGCCCAAGCUGACAAUGUAAAUUAGCAAAGUACUGAGAGAUGUCCAUUAUAAAAAUAUUGUAAGAAAAAUUAUUAGUUAAGCCAUUCUUAACUUUUCAUUUGUCAAUAGAUAGAUGUCAAAAGCUAAUUCAAACUUUGUGGUUUUUGCGUCAUUAAAGGUAUAUCGCAUAGCGUAAUUUAUUAUAAUUAUAAUAAUAUUUCUCAUGACAAUUACGUGUAAAUGUUACAUUUGCAAUGUUACCCAUAAACAUAAAUACUAUGAUGUGCAUCAUUUGAUUUUUUACACGUUUAAAAUAAAACAUUUUAUUUGCAAA